Molecule: ribosomal RNA, 817 nt
Filed under: uncultured organism
Description: SSU rRNA
Rfam family: Bacterial small subunit ribosomal RNA
Source: RNAcentral
UAGCUACAGGCUUAACACAUGCAAGUCGAGGGGCAGCAUGGUCUUAGCUUGCUAAGGCCGAUGGCGACCGGCGCACGGGUGAGUAACGCGUAUCCAACCUGCCGUCUACUCUUGGACAGCCUUCUGAAAGGAAGAUUAAUACAAGAUGGCAUCAUGAGUCCGCAUGUUCACAUGAUUAAAGGUAUUCCGGUAGACGAUGGGGAUGCGUUCCAUUAGAUAGUAGGCGGGGUAACGGCCCACCUAGUCUUCGAUGGAUAGGGGUUCUGAGAGGAAGGUCCCCCACAUUGGAACUGAGACACGGUCCAAACUCCUACGGGAGGCAGCAGUGAGGAAUAUUGGUCAAUGGGCGAGAGCCUGAACCAGCCAAGUAGCGUGAAGGAUGACUGCCCUAUGGGUUGUAAACUUCUUUUAUAAAGGAAUAAAGUCGGGUAUGUAUACCCGUUUGCAUGUACUUUAUGAAUAAGGAUCGGCUAACUCCGUGCCAGCAGCCGCGGUAAUACGGAGGAUCCGAGCGUUAUCCGGAUUUAUUGGGUUUAAAGGGAGCGUAGAUGGAUGUUUAAGUCAGUUGUGAAAGUUUGCGGCUCAACCGUAAAAUUGCAGUUGAUACUGGAUAUCUUGAGUGCAGUUGAGGCAGGCGGAAUUCGUGGUGUAGCGGUGAAAUGCUUAGAUAUCACGAAGAACUCCGAUUGCGAAGGCAGCCUGCUAAGCUGCAACUGACAUUGAGGCUCGAAAGUGUGGGUAUCAAACAGGAUUAGAUACCCUGGUAGUCCACACGGUAAACGAUGAAUACUCGCUGUUUGCGAUAUACUGCAAGCGG